This 536-nucleotide ribosomal RNA is filed under the name uncultured bacterium. RNAcentral describes it as "partial 16S ribosomal RNA". It matches the Rfam family "Bacterial small subunit ribosomal RNA", at positions 355 to 878 of the family's 1533-position model. The record is from RNAcentral.
UGGGGAAUUUUGGACAAUGGGCGAAAGCCUGAUCCAGCAAUGCCGCGUGUGUGAAGAAGGCCUUCGGGUUGUAAAGCACUUUUGUCCGGAAAGAAAUCCUCUGGGUUAAUACCUCGGGGGGAUGACGGUACCGGAAGAAUAAGCACCGGCUAACUACGUGCCAGCAGCCGCGGUAAUACGUAGGGUGCAAGCGUUAAUCGGAAUUACUGGGCGUAAAGCGUGCGCAGGCGGUUUGCUAAGACCGAUGUGAAAAUCCCCCGGGCUCAACCUGGGGAACUGCAUUGGUGACUGGCAGGCUAGAGUAUGGCAGAGGGGGGUAGAAUUCCACGUGUAGCAGUGAAAUGCGUAGAGAUGUGGAGGAAUACGAUGGCGAAGGCAGCCCCCUGGGCCAAAUACUGACGCUCAUGCACGAAAGCGUGGGGAGCAAACAGGAUUAGAUACCCUGGUAGUCCACGCCCUAAACCGAUGUCAACUAGUUGUUGGGGAUUCAUUUCCUUAGUAACGUGAGCUAAUCGCGUGAAGUUGACCGCCUGGGG